AUUGAACGCUGGCGGCAUGCCUAACACAUGCAAGUCGAACGGAGAUAGGGGCAACCUUAUUUCAGUGGCGGACGGGUGAGGAAUGCGUCGGAAUCUGCCCUAUGGUGGGGAUAACACAGGGAAACUUGUGCUAAUACCGCAUAAUGUCGAGAGACCAAAGCAGGGGACCGCAAGGCCUUGCGCGAUAGGAUGAGCCGAGCCCGAUUAGCCUUGUUGGUAGGGUAAUGGCCUACCAAGGCGACGAUCGGUAGCUGGUCUGAGAGGAUGAUCAGCCACACUGGGACUGAGACACGGCCCAGACUCCUACGGGAGGCAGCAGUGGGGAAUAUUGGACAAUGGGCGCAAGCCUGAUCCAGCAAUGCCGCGUGUGUGAAGAAGG
RNAcentral lists this ribosomal RNA (379 nucleotides) under uncultured bacterium. RNAcentral's name for it is "bacterial SSU rRNA". It matches the Rfam family "Bacterial small subunit ribosomal RNA", at positions 30 to 414 of the family's 1533-position model. The record is from RNAcentral.